GACGAACGCUGGCGGCGUGCCUAACACAUGCAAGUCGAGCGGGGUGAGCGAGAGGUAACUCGAACUUCUACCUAGCGGCGGACGGGUGAGUAACGCGUGGGCAACCUGCCUCAAGGUCUGGGAUAACAGCCCGAAAGGGCUGCUAAUACCGGGUAUGCUUGUGGCCUCGCAUGGGGCUACGAGCAAAGGGGAAACCCGCCUUGAGAUGGGCCCGCGUCCCAUCAGCUAGUUGGUGAGGUAACAGCUCACCAAGGCGACGACGGGUAGCCGGCCUGAGAGGGUGACCGGCCACACUGGGACUGAGACACGGCCCAGACUCCUACGGGGGGCAGCAGUGGGGGAUCUUGCACAAUGGGCGAAAGCCUGAUGCAGCGACGCCGCGUGAGCGAAGAAGGCCUUGGGUUGUAAAGCUCUGUCUGGAGGGACGAAGGAAGUGACGGUACCUCCGGAGGAAGCCACGGCUAACUACGUG
This 472-nucleotide ribosomal RNA is filed under the name uncultured bacterium. Its description in RNAcentral is "bacterial SSU rRNA". It matches the Rfam family "Bacterial small subunit ribosomal RNA", at positions 28 to 507 of the family's 1533-position model. The record is from RNAcentral.